RNAcentral lists this transfer RNA (72 nucleotides) under Girella mezina. Its description in RNAcentral is "tRNA-Val". It matches the Rfam family "tRNA". Rfam says of the family: Transfer RNA (tRNA) molecules are approximately 80 nucleotides in length. Their secondary structure includes four short double-helical elements and three loops (D, anti-codon, and T loops). The record is from RNAcentral. Lineage: Eukaryota; Metazoa; Chordata; Actinopteri; Centrarchiformes; Girellidae. RNAcentral also lists the same sequence under 6 other names.
CAGAAUAUAGCUAAACCAGAAUAGCAUCUCCCUUACACCGAGAAAGUAUCCGUGCAAAUCGGAUUAUCCUGA